ACGCGGGCUAGGUGGGGGCUAGGGGUCCCUAUCCGUAAAUCCCCUUAGACGGACCGAAUGCCUGGUGCGUCUUUGUGUAAGAGUACAUCCUUCGUCUUAGGUGUUGACAUCCUGUCCUACGCGGUGGAGCUUGAUAUGAACCGGGUCAGGCCGGAAGGAGCAGCCCUAAGUAUCAAAUUCCAUGCUCGUAGAAAACAGGAUCGAGCUGAUGACGAAAGGCUCUGUAUUCUUAUGCAAAGGCAAUCCAGGAAGCCCGCUU
This 259-nucleotide signal recognition particle RNA is filed under the name Microcaldota archaeon. RNAcentral's name for it is "Candidatus Micrarchaeota archaeon (hot springs metagenome) signal recognition particle sRNA". It matches the Rfam family "Archaeal signal recognition particle RNA". Lineage: Archaea; Nanobdellati; Microcaldota. The record is from RNAcentral.